UACGGAAGGUCCGGGCGUCAUCCGGAUUUAUUGGGUUUAAAGGGAGCGCAGGCGGAGGGCUAAGCGUGGCGUGAAAUGCCGGGGCUCAACCUUGGAAUUGCGUCGCGAACUGGUCCCCUUGAGUGCACUCGAGGCAGGCGGAAUCCGUGGUGUAGCGGUGAAAUGCUUAGAUAUCACGAAGAACUCCGAUUGCGAAGGCAGCUUACUGGUGUGUUACUGACGCUGAUGCUCGAAGGUGCGGGUAUCAAAC
RNAcentral lists this ribosomal RNA (250 nucleotides) under uncultured prokaryote. Its description in RNAcentral is "partial 16S ribosomal RNA". It matches the Rfam family "Bacterial small subunit ribosomal RNA", at positions 524 to 773 of the family's 1533-position model. The record is from RNAcentral.